ACGGGGGCGGGACCGGGCGGCCUGAGACCUGUUGAUCGCAGGUAUCACCCGCCUGACCGGCUCUCUUGGGACUGAGACGACUGCGCAUGCUCGCUGGCGGCUCUGGGCCAGUAGCCAAGCGGCGGUGACGAACCGGCUCCUCGGUUGCGGUUGUUGCGGUUGCAGCGAUGGCGAUGUGAGUGGGCCCCGGGCGGAAUGGUGCUGACCCGGGUAGGGACGUCUUCUUCCAGCUGGACACCUAGCUCUUCCAUCCAACAGAAGAGAGAAGAGGUGGAGACGGUUGAGAGGUAAGCCCCUCUCCGCUCCGGGUCCUGUCGCUCCCGACACUCACGACCCCUCCCUCGGUCCCUCUUUCCCAGGGGCCAGGCAGGAAGCGGCCUCCUUCUCUUCGUCCCCCCCUCGCCCGCUCCGGCCUCUCUACGGGCUGCUCGCUGUCGGACGCAGCCCCGGGCCGGGUGAAGGUCGGUGGGGACGGCGGUUCUGGGCACUCUCCGGCAAGCCAAGGGGCCGCAGCGCUUAGCUCUGCGGGCACUCCCUGUCGCCCUGCCCCUGCCUUACGUUCCUCUGCCGGUUCUUCCUGAACCUCACGCCUCCUGUGCCCCAGCCUUCUCCUGCCCUUCGCCCCCGGCUCCAUCUUCACCUGUCUAUCUCGCCUUUAUCCCCCAUUCAUGGUUCUUCUCUUUCAUCCCGUGCCCACUUGCCUUUUCGCUCCGGUGGUGUUUGGUCCCGGAGGCAAUGCAUAUUUUUUGCUCCCCUCAGUUUUUUCCCUUUCCUUGUGCAUCCUUGAUCUGCUUCUUUCCUACAGGGAGCUCCUGGCCCUCGCCCACCAGGUUUCUAGCUCUGUUACCUCCGUAAUUUCUAUCUUGACUUUCUUUUCCUUCUUUGGUACUUCUUAUGGUUUGUUGUUCCUGUUGUGUUUUGAGUUUUUUUGCAUCGCUUUACACCAGAGUUCAUUCCAUCCCCCCCCCCCCCCCCCCCCCCCCCCCCCCCCNNNNNNNNNNNNNNUUAUCUUCGGAGGCCCUCAAUUCCUUAGCUCUUUUGGUACCCUACUUCACUGCUAGUUUUGUCCCUGUCCUUCCAUCCUAUUCCAUCCUGGCCCCAUUUCUAGCCUCUAAUCUUGAUUUUUUUUCCCUCUAAAACUCUUUAAUAUUUUUUGUAUAGGUUGAAACUCUUCGUUUAUUUCAGUUUUUGUUAAAUUCUUGAAGAGUUCUAACAUGCCCUUCUAGUCUCUUCUGCAUUUUUCCUAAGCUCAGUAGCUACUCAGUAUUCUUAGUUCAGCUUUCAAGUUAAUGAAAUUUCUUCAUCUUUCUCCUCCAGCUGGAAAUAUCAUCAGAAGAGUACACCUAUUGUCAGACUUACUGAUUGAAGCUUUAAUUUUUAAAAAUUGUUUUUACUUGUCAUGAGUACAGAAGCAAUUCCAGCACAGACAUCAUGAAACUAUGAAAAGUUAAAAUUUUUUAAAGGUUGACCUACAAAUGCACUCUUAAAUUUUAGAAAUUUCAGUAUCCUCCAGUAAAUAUAGAUGUCCAAGAGCAAACCUUGAAUGGAAUUUAACAACUUUUUUACAAGUUUAUUGAUUCUGUUUUAUAUGUUGCUAUUGCAAUGGGUUACGACAUUUUUCUGAGUGUCACUGUUCUCUUUAAUAAAUGUGUACAAUUUCUGCAAACUUAAAAAUAGAAGUAGUGUGCUUACUAAAGGAGAAAUACUCAAGAACAGAAGUAUUAAAUUCUUGAGUUGGCAAAAAAAUUUCCUAAACAGUUUUGAAAGUUUUCCCUCAUUUUAUUAUGAUCAAGAUUUUAUUUAAAUAAAACUUCUCUAUGAAUAGUGGUAUAGUAUCUUAUUUUGAAGGUAUCUGCUGAAAUGUUUAUUUUCAGUGAAGUUUGCCUUUAUUUUAGGGUUGAAGAUCAACUGGAUUAUGUAUUUCAUUCUGGAAACCCAAAGCAGUCCACAAACAGUAAAUUCUUCCUUAUGUUAUCUAUGUCAGGUAGGAAUUAAGUUUUUUGUUUCUACUUUAAGAAGGGUAAUACCAAGGCAAAGGGAGUGUAUUUCUUGUUCAAGGUGACUUGGAGGUAAAAGUUGGAGGUUUUGAUGUUAUAAAGGGCACUUUUUUUUUUAAGAAGAAUGAACAAUUAUUUGGUAUGAUAAGAGUUGUUGAGAUAUCUGAUUUUUCAGAUGCAGAUAAAGAUUACUGCUUUUUCUGAAGAUGCCUUCUCCCUUUAAAUGUUUAAAUGCAAGGUUUUUUUUUUUUUCAUUUUUAGGUAAAUGUUUAUUUUUAAAAAAAUUAAUACCUACAGAUUUUGUAUUGGAAUGAGUUAAUUCUGUGCUCUUAGAAAUUAAAGUAAGAAUUCAUGGUGUAUAGCAGGCACAGGAGUAGAUGUCAGAAGACUUGAACUCAUGAUGACUCAUGAAAUUGGUUUGUAGAAGACACUUACCCUCUAUACCUUAAUGUCUCCACCUUGUAAAAGGUGGAUAUUAAAGUUGGCUAUCCAGUGACCUCUUCAUAGCAAAGACCUAAUCAUUUAAACAUGCUUUGGACCUUCAUAGACAAAAAUUGCUAUGUAAAUACUUAAAUUUUUGCCUCUGACUUUAAAUUAUACAGUAGGAAUAUAUUGACUGCUUAAAUCCUUUUAAGAUCCAGUUGAAGCUUUAGAUUUUUUUUUUAUUUCAGAUUUCUGUAAAAAAUGUUGUAGACUACUAGCGAAUUAUGGACUAGCUUAGUUCAGUCAAUGUUUAUAUACAGUGAGACAGACACUGCAGCAUUCAGUAUGUAAAACAGAUAAUGCUCCUUGUUUUCCAGGAGUUAGUACUGAAAGGAACAAUAAAAGUUAUCUUUGGCUAUCUUUUUAAGUGUUGGUUGUCUUGUAUUUUCAUUUUGCUCUCUGUAAAUACAGACCCUUUAAGAGUAGGUGGGUGUGUGUUGGGGGUACUUAAGGAAUAGAAAGGAUAAAGACUUUGUUUUGAUUCUGGGUAUUGAGGAAAAACUACUCAAGGGUUUUGUGAAAUGUACAUGUGUUUAUUCAAAUAAAUGAGUGGAGAUGGGGCAUAUAGAUUUGAAGUGAAUAGCUUCUUGUUGUUGUUGUUUUGCAUACCCAGGAAAAAGGUUUAGGGAUGAAUAGGAAUGAGGAGCAGAGUAAUAAUAUGAGAAGAAAGCAUUCUUAAUGAAAUUAGUGGUUUUUUGAAACAAGUUGGUUUCAGCAUUUUAUUUUUAAGGAUUAGCAGGUUUUAACAGGUAUAUGCUUGGUUAUCAAAGGUAUACUAAAUUAAAAUAAAAAUUAGUCUUUUUUCUUAACAAAAAUAUAAUAGUGUUAGACAAAUUAUACCAUUAAAAGAUAUCUCCUACUUGAUUUUACGAAGUAUUAAUCAGGAAAUCAUUUUGAGAAAAAUUGUAGCAUAUUUCCUUUUAUGGAAUUACAUCUCUAUAUGUAGACCAUCCAGAAUAGUGUUUUUAAAUUAUGUUUGCCAAUAUAGAAGUCUACCAAUGGCAUUUUGGUACAUUUCUGUUAAGUUUUAUGAAAUGUCCUUUUACUAUAGUUCUUAAUUUAAACUAGAAUUAGCAUUUUUAUAUUGAAUCCCAUGAUGUUUCCUUAUGGGAUGAAAGUUCAUUAUUCAUGAUUGUUUUUUGAGUGGUGGUAACCAACAUGCAUUUUUCUUUUGCUGGGGGCGGGGUGUGGGUACUGGGGGUUGAACUCAGAGACACUGGGCCACUGAGCCACAUCCCCAGCUCUAUUUUGUAUUAUACUUAGAGACAGGGUCUCACUGAGUUGUUUAGUGCCUCACUUUUGUUGAGGCUGGCUUUGAACUCAUGAUCCUCUUGCUUUAAGCCUUCUGAGCUGCUGGGAUUAGGUGUUACUCUUUGAUGUUUUCAAAUUGCCAGUAAGUCAGGCUUACUUGGAAAUGUAUUGUCUGUAAAUGUCUAAGCAAUAAAGUCAGGGCAUAUUGGCAAUCACAAUUUAAGACCUUGGAAGCCUGUGUACCCUUUACCAUUAUUUUCAUAUUUUGGAAUUGAGAACCCCAGAUGUUUAGACUACCUUUGUCCUUACUCAGGUUUCCAUUAAGACAUGAAAUUGUUUUUCCCCCUCAGGUGAUUUAGUUUAAAAUGUAGGCUGCUACUAGUCCCUUUAUGUAAAAUUAAUAACUAUUUUGUUGACAUGUAAUAGCAACAUAAAAUGAAAAUGUGAUAGGCCCCAUUUUGGUAGAAGAAUUUUGAAAUGUUCUAAGAUUGUGAGCCAGGGAAAUGCUAGUGAAAUCAGUAGAAAAAUGUCUUUGAGUAGGUAGUUGAAAAAAAUCAUUGUUGGGCUGGGGUUGUUGCUCAGACUGUAAAGUACUUGCCUAGCAGGUGAGAGGCACUGAGUUCGAUCCUCAACACUACAUAAAAAUAAAUAAAGGUAUUGUGUCCAUCUAACACUAAAAAUAUUUUUUAAAAAAUAUUCAUUGUCUAUUUUCCCCCUGGUUUUCCCCAGCACAUUAAAAAGAUCUCAAUUGAAGCUAAUCCAAUAUUCAUUGUCUAUUUUUUCCCUAGUUAACCCAGCAUCUAAAAAGAUUGAAGCCAACCCUUCUUCUUUUAAGGUCUUCUAGCCUAUAAAUGAAAGUAUUUUCAAAUCAUGCAAUUGAAAUAAUAACUGUUUACUUGAGUUGCAUUAUUUUGAAUAGACAUUUCUUUGCAUGGAAUCCUAAAAACUACGAUAAAAAUCACAGUGUCAGCUAUUUAUUGAGUACCAUGAACCAAGGGCAAUGAUUAAUGCUUUAUGUAUAUUAGUUCUUUAAGCUUUAUCUUUUGAGUUAAGAAUCAUAAGUAUUAUUUGCAUUUGAAAAAAAUGAGGCUAGCUUAUAUCAUCUGAACUAGAAUUCAGAUCUGUCUAAUAUCAGACUUACUGGUAGACUUGAGAAAAUAUGGAAAAUAUGUCAAGAAAACAUUGUUUCUUAGAAUAUUUUUCAUGAAGUGGAUUAUAAUUCCUUUUUUCUGAUUCUGAGCUUUGUUUUCUGUUGAGAUAACCAAUAAGAGGAAAUAUUUUGAGUAUUGCUGGACAGAUCCUAGCAACAGAAGAUAGCUUGUGGUUCUUUCUAAGUUUCUCUUCCUGUUAAUGGAAAUAACUAUGUUUUGGUAAUUUUGAGAGGUAACUUUUAUUAAGUGUCACAUAAUGAGCAAUAAAAGUUUUUCCUCUUUUGCUUUACUUCAUUCUUACAUGUUAAGUGAACCAUGGAAAUACUCUCAGAGAUUACUAUGGUUCCUUUUGUAUUAUGUUUAAAAAUUGUUUUUUUUCCUAUUGGAUUUUUAUGGUAUUAACACAGUUAUCCAAUAUUGAGAAUGCUUACUUCUUAAUGUAGAUGUAAGUUCUAAAAUUGGUAACAGUGUAUUUGCCUUUCAGUAGACAGCUGUUUAAACAAAAAUUUUAAAGAAAUUGGAAGAGACAAUGCCAUUAAAACUAUAGUUUUGAUAUGUGUCUGUAAGUUGUGAGAAAUUAGGAUUUUAUAAUUUAGAAAUAGUGUUUAUUACAUGACAAAUUGAAUAUAGCUAUAAUUUUUUUGUCAUUAGUGUUGCAUUAUGACUUUAAUUUUUCUUUGGAUAGCCCUUUUUUUAUGGCUUGAUGGUCAUUAUAUCUACUUCCUAGAGUAGUUCAAGUGUGAAUUUUAGAAUUUUGCAAGUACAAAUAAAGACUAUUGAAUUUUUUGUCCUUUUUUAUUAUUUACUUACUGUAUGAGCUUGCAUGAAUUACAUAAACUUUAUGCUACUUAGUUUCCUCUCCUAUGAAAUGGAGUAAUAUUAGCUCUUUCAGAUUUUUAGGAGAAUUAAAUGAAGUAACAUACUAAAAGCUAUUGGUCUAAGAGUUGGUAGGCCAACAAGUUUGCUUUCUAUUUUAUAUUAGUAUUUGAUCUAUAUUUGGUAUUACCAGUAGAGAAACAUACAUCUUUUAAAAAUAUAAUUUGUAUAUCAAGCUGUUCUCAUUAUCUUUCCUUUGGAAGAACAACCUUCUGCCUCAGUCUCAGAAGAAUUUAGUAUUCUCUUCUUAAAUAUUUCUGUAAUUUAUGCAACAUAGCCUAUGGCUGGUGAAAUGAACUAUAUCCAAAGUUCAUUUUGGUACAUAAGGAGCAGCAACAAGUUUCUAGAAAGGUAUUUUUCCUUACUGUAUGUGUCCCCUUUACUGUAAUGAUUCUGAAAAGCUUAGUUUUGCUGUGUAUCACUUUUUAAGUGACAGCUAAGUGUGUUAUACAUGUGAAUGACUGUGGGGAAAAAAAAGUUAAAAGCCAUCUGAAUGGUGGUGAUUUUCAGAGUCAGGCACCUGACAGGUGGCUUGACCAUUUGCAGGAGCAUAUAAUCUAAUGACUGAGCAUAUUUAGCUCCCUCAGAAAGGAGCUUACAAGGAUGGGUAGGGUGUCAUGGCCUCAGCCAACCAAAAAAGGACCAAAAUAUAAAUUAAAAAGUAAGACUGUAGCUCAGUUAUUCAGACUAAACUAAUCAAUGCAGACUUAACCAACUUAAGUGGCCAGAAUUUACACCAGAUAUUUGCCCACUUAGGGUAUAUAGUUUUCAUAUCCUAUUUCCUACUACCGCAGGUUUGCCACCUUGUAAGUUACACAGUUACAGUCUUUUCAGGUUAGCUUAUAAUUUGACAAAAAUAAUUCUGUCAAAAAUAUAGCAGGAUUUUUGUUUGUCUCCAUUUAGUUCUGUGACAGUAAUUAGAUAUGUUUCAUAUGCCGCCUUUUUUCUUUUUUUUUUCUGUGCACAUAACGUGUUUUAAUGAAGCACAUCUUCAUCUCUCAUUUUAAUAACCACUGUCAUGAAAUUAUCUGAAACAGUAGGCAUUGGUGAGAUGGCAGCAUCCUUAAUCUAAAGUACAGCACUAGAUACUUUAUUUUGUUAAGAAGAAUUCCUUUGGGAAGAGUGCUAAUUGGAUGUUGGGUAUUGAAGCAGGUGACUGCAAGGCCCCACAUUUCUGCUGUCUUAUUUCUUUCCACCUUUGCCUAUCAGCUAGUCAAAUUCUUGCCUAUAUAAAUACAACAAAGAACCACCAACACAUCCAGUGUUGUGGCACUUUUCAUAUACUUUUCUGGUGGGUGUGGGUUUUUUGUGGACAUCUGUUUCUGCAGGUUAUUGUAGACAACAGUUUUGUCAAUUGUUUUGCUUCCACACAGUGGAUCACUAGUAUUCCAGUAGUGUGUUUCCACGUUGGCUGGUAUGAAAUGACUAAGCUGGUGCCAUAUAUUUAAGGAUUUUUGUUAUAGCAUUACUCUGAUUCUGAUAAUAAUUUCUGUGUUAAGGAAGAGGCCAAGUUGUAGUAAUUAGGAUCCCAAACUGAAAAUAGCUUAAAUUAGAAAGCUUAAAUAGUUAAAUGAGAAAAGUUUAUUUCUCUUUCACAUUGUUAUAUGAUUUAGGUGGUAGGAGUGGUAGGGGUAUGAAGAAAACUACCAAAAUAUUGGAUCUGAGACUCAAAUCCUAAGCCCAUAUUUUAACCAUUGUCCUAUACUUACAUAUAUUUAUUGCUUCCUGAUGGACAGGUGGCUUUUUGAGAUCAGGAACUGAGCUAUGCCUUGUAUCUAUUGCAAUUCCUAGCCUGUAGUUGGUGUUCUAUAAGUGUUUGGAUAUCUGUUUUAUAUCUGAGAAGCUAAGGCCUGGAGACUUGACCAAACUUGAGUCAGAAUCAGAAUCAGAACCAGAACCAGAGCAUGAUCUAAACCUUGCCCACAUGAAAGUGUGUGUGUGUGUAAUGAUAUCCUAGAUGUUUUUCCAUGAAAUGGGGAAUGACUUUUAUAAAGAUGGUACAUUGAUAAUUAUUAAUGACGCAAUUAUUAAAGUAGAAAAUAGCAGUUUGGAAGUUGGCAAAGUCAGUGCCUUUAUAGAGAAAAAGUUCUGUGUUAAGUAUUGUUUGAAAUGUGGGAAAAAAAAGUAUAGCAAAGUGAAGCAAUUUUUCUGUCAAAAUAUUUUAAAUAGCUCUUUUUAUGCGUACACACAUAUAUAGAUAUAAAGACAUACAUAUGGAAUUUUACAAAUUAGAGUUAUUUAAAAAUGAUGAGUUCUGUAUCUUAAGAAUUAAUGUUUCUAAAUCUUUGGUAUUAAUGAAGAUUGUUUCGAACCACUAAACUAAGAAAAUAAAGUAUCUUAUUAUUAUACUUUCAUUAUGCAUAAGUGAAUCCUUAAUAGAGUUGGUGUUGAUAUCAGUGAUACUAGUGAAACUAUAAUUUUUUCCAAGCCUUAUCAAGGACAUAGAUAUUUUAUAUAAAUUUAAAAUAUUAAUUAUUUUAGCAUAUACAGAUUUCUUUUAUGUCUGCUAUUUUGUUUGAGAUCUUAUUGUUUGUCUCUCAUAGGGGGAACAAUAUAUUUGUAACAAGAAGCAAUAACUGGAAGUAAUAAUGUUAAAAUGAAGUUUUGAUCAGCAGAGGUAAGGAUAUGACAUUUCUUUUACACUUAAUUCAUGAUAGAUUUGAAUGUUUGCUAAAUUUUAAGGAAGCACUAUUUCAAGAACCAUGAAGGAUCUGAGAUUUUACCCUACUUGCAAGCUAGCAAGGUAGCCUGCCAUGGUGCUAUGGAUUUUAGCAGAAGACCUGAAAUUCAUGGAUCAAAAACAAAGAUGGUUUACACUUAAAGCAGUACCUUAAGUACCAGUUGAUACCUGCAUAUAAGUAGGUUAUUUCACAGGAGAGGAACCCUGAACAAAGAGAACCUAAUCUGUUAUAUGGACAAUAAAUCCAUCUGACUUUUGCCUUGAAGGGAGACUUUAUUUUUAUUAUAUGGGACAGUAAACAGAUCUUCCCUUUGUUUUAGUAUAAGACACUGUGUCUGAGUUUUAAGACCAUAUACAUACAUCUGUAUAAACUGCAUAUAAAAAAUAGUCUGGAACAAAGGCUGUCAGCAUUUCUAUGAGUAAGGCAUGCAGAAAUACAAAAAAAAUUAUACAGAAUUGUCUACCAAUAUUUUUUACCUUAAUUUGCUGAAAAAUAUGUCUAUUGAUGAGAACAAUUGCUACUUUUUUUCUCUGAAAUACUGAAAAGAUUGAACUGAAGUACCCAAUAGUGGGUGAGUGUCUAAACUAUAAUAUGUUCACAGUUACAUAAUAAUUAUAACUAAAAAUAAUGUUGUACAGUUACAUUUAUUGACUUAUAUGUCCAUCAGAAAAUUAAGUGAGAUAAGUAGAUUAUAAAGUGUACAUGUGAUUUGAUUCCAUUUCUAUAAAUAUUGUACUAAUUAUACUAAUGUGCAACAUUAGAAUGUGUACCAACCAUAUAUAGAUAUAUAUAUAUAUAUAUAUAUAUAUACACUAAUGGAUGGAAUUGUUUUGGUCCUCUGUUAUUUUUUUUUAACCUUUGAAAACGAAUACUUUAGUCUUUUAUAAUGAAGAAAAAAGUUUUUCUUUCUUUAAAAAUAGUCACUGAAGAACUCUUUUUUUUUUCACUUAACAGAGAAAAGCCUUUCAUGGAUUUAAAUGGGGAUUUAAAAAAAUUCUCAUUUUGACUGGUAUAUUACCAUUAUGUGUAAAGUAAGACUACAUAAUAAUUAGGUGGCUUAAAUUUUUUUUAAAAAUCUUAUUUUUGAGAUAAAAUCAAGAAUUUGUUUUAGUAAUGUAUUGUAUUCAUUCUCACACAAAUAUCAUUAAGGGAAACAUCUUAGGAAAACAUUUUAAGAGGACAAAUCUUAAAUUAUAGAAAGUAGUGCUAUUUGAUGAGUAUAGAUUUUUGGUGUCUUUAGUUGGGUUAGGCUAAGUUGGGCACACUAAACUAGUUUGCUGCUUUUUUUUUUUUUUUUUUUUUUUGUACUAGGGAUUGAACCCAGGGGCACUUAACCACUGAACCAUAUUCCAACCCUUUUUUAUUUUUAUUUUCAGACAGAGUCUCAAUAAGUUGCUUAGGACCUCACUAAGUUGCUGAGACUGGCUUUGAACUUGGCUGCCUCAGCCUCCCAAGUUGCUGGUAUUACAGGAGUGAGCCACCACACCUAGCAGUGUGUUUCAUUUUUAAUUUCUCCUUAUGUAUCAUAUUCUGAAAUUUGUUUAAAUUAUUCCAUUUUUUAUAAAUUGGAAGUUUUAUUGUACUACUCAUGAUAUUUUUCUCCCCUUCUUUAACUAAGGUGCUGUUUCCAGGUUUAUCUUCUGGGUAUAAAUUAAAAAUGACUGAAGUUCAAGCAAUGGUAGAAUUUUCCGUAGAGCUAAAUAAGUUCUACAAUGUGGAUUUAUUCCAGAGAGGGUAUGUAUUUUAAUGUUAAAAUUAUGUACUUUGCAUAAGAU
RNAcentral lists this long non-coding RNA (10214 nucleotides) under Marmota monax (woodchuck). Lineage: Eukaryota; Metazoa; Chordata; Mammalia; Rodentia; Sciuridae. The record is from RNAcentral.